Non-coding RNA from Pelobates cultripes (western spadefoot toad), 539 nucleotides. Lineage: Eukaryota; Metazoa; Chordata; Amphibia; Anura; Pelobatidae. The record is from the annotation of a GenBank genome assembly.
AGAAAGAAAAGAAGAAAAAAGUGCAAACUGUCUGGUCUUGUCAGAGUGUGAUGGGGUGCAUGCUCUACCACUUCCACAGUACCGUCGACCAACUGUGGAAGUCUAGGGAUGCAUAGUCCCAGCAGGUACAGACAUUUUUGGGGAAGGCAACAAACAUUUUAAUUAAGCAAGUAGCUCUAGACCAUAGUCUUUUUAUUGUCAGAACACUUUACGGUGGACCAGUACAGAACAUAAAUUGUUCCAUAAAAUAACUCUAGCAGCCCAAAGAGUUGAACACUGCCAUACCAUCUAUUGAUAUGGUACUCCUGAAACUUAAAGAUAAUGGACAAGGCGACCGCUCAGGGGGACGAUGAAAACCUUUGCAAAGGUAUUGAAACCAUGGGAAACUUACAUUGGCAUCCCCUAGGGCGGCUCUGGUUGUUUUGUGACAUGGUGGGCUGAGGUCAGGGUAUGAGAGAGCCUAGGAGUCACUCUGUUACAUGACGACUUUAUCUUCUUUUCCUCCUUUUCUUUGAUUUCUAUUGCAAUCUUUAUUAUAU